UAGAGUUUGAUCCUGGCUCAGGAUGCAUGCUAGCGACAGGCUUAACACAUGCAAGUCGAGGGGCAGCGGGGAUGAAGGCUUGCCUUCAUCUGCCGGCGACCGGCGCACGGGUGAGUAACACGUAUGCAACCUGUCCGGUACAGGGGGAUAAGCGGCGGAAACGCCGUCUAAUACCGCGUGACAACCCGAGGGGGCAUCCCCUUGGGUUCAAAGGAGAGAUCCGGUACCGGGUGGGCAUGCGGCGCAUUAGCUAGUUGGCGGGGCAACGGCCCACCAAGGCGACGAUGCGUAGGGGUUCUGAGAGGAAGGUCCCCCACACUGGAACUGAGACACGGUCCAGACUCCUACGGGAGGCAGCAGUGAGGAAUAUUGGUCAAUGGGCGGAAGCCUGAACCAGCCAAGUCGCGUGAGGGAAGACGGCCCCAUGGGUUGUAAACUGCUUUUAUACGGGAAUAAAUGACGACACGUGUGUUGUUUUGUAGGUACCGUAUGAAUAAGGACCGGCUAAUUCCGUGCCAGCAGCCGCGGUAAUACGGAAGGUCCGGGCGUUAUCCGGAUUUAUUGGGUUUAAAGGGAGCGUAGGCCGGCGCUUAAGCGUGCCGUGAAAUGUCCCGGCUCAACCGGGGCACUGCGGCGCGAACUGGGUGCCUUGAGUGCGCGGAACGUAUGCGGAAUUCGUGGUGUAGCGGUGAAAUGCUUAGAUAUCACGAAGAACUCCGAUUGCGAAGGCAGCAUACGGCAGCGUAACUGACGCUGAAGCUCGAAGGUGCGGGUAUCGAACAGGAUUAGAUACCCUGGUAGUCCGCACGGUAAACGAUGGAUGCCCACAGUUGGGAAUAUACAGUCAGCGGCCAAGCGAAAGCGUUAAGCAUCCCACCUGGGGAGUACGCGGGCAACGGUGAAACUCAAAGGAAUUGACGGGGGCCCGCACAAGCGGAGGAACAUGUGGUUUAAUUCGAUGAUACGCGAGGAACCUUACCCGGGCUUGAACUGCAGGUGAACGAUUCAGAGAUGAUGAGGUCCUUCGGGACACCUGUGGAGGUGCUGCAUGGUUGUCGUCAGCUCGUGCCGUGAGGUGUCGGCUUAAGUGCCAUAACGAGCGCAACCCUUAUUCUUAGUAGCCAGCAGGUAAGGCUGGGCACUCUAAGGAGACUGCCAGGGAUAACCUGGAGGAAGGUGGGGAUGACGUCAAAUCAUCAUGCCCCUUAUGAUUUGGGCUACACACGUGCUACAAUGGCGUAAACAAAGGGAGGCGAAGCCGCGAGGCCGAGCGAACCUCAAAAAUAACGUCUCAGUUCGGAUUGCAGGCUGCAACCCGCCUGCAUGAAGCCGGAAUCGCUAGUAAUCGCGGAUCAGAAUGCCGCGGUGAAUACGUUCCCGGGUCUUGCCCACAAGGCCCGUCAAG
RNAcentral lists this ribosomal RNA (1405 nucleotides) under uncultured bacterium. RNAcentral describes it as "bacterial SSU rRNA". It matches the Rfam family "Bacterial small subunit ribosomal RNA". The record is from RNAcentral.